Molecule: small nucleolar RNA, 83 nt
Filed under: Lodderomyces parapsilosis CDC317
Lineage: Eukaryota; Fungi; Ascomycota; Pichiomycetes; Serinales; Debaryomycetaceae
Source: RNAcentral
AUUUAUGAUGACAAGAUUUGCUGUGCACCAGUCUGAGUACUCAAACGCAUGACAGACCCAGUAAUAUACCCAAAUUUCUGAUC